Molecule: ribosomal RNA, 478 nt
Filed under: uncultured bacterium
Lineage: Bacteria
Description: bacterial SSU rRNA
Rfam family: Bacterial small subunit ribosomal RNA
Source: RNAcentral
GACGAACGCUGGCGGCGUGCUUAACACAUGCAAGUCGAACGGGGUGUUUAUUUCGGUAAACACCAAGCGGCGAACGGGUGAGUAACGCGUAAGCAAUCUACCUUCAAGAUGGGGACAACACUUCGAAAGGGGUGCUAAUACCGAAUGAAUGUAAGAGUAUCGCAUGAGACACUUACUAAAGGAGGCCUCUGAAAAUGCUUCCGCUUGAAGAUGAGCUUGCGUCUGAUUAGCUAGUUGGUGAGGGUAAAGGCCCACCAAGGCGACGAUCAGUAGCCGGUCUGAGAGGAUGAACGGCCACAUUGGGACUGAGACACGGCCCAGACUCCUACGGGAGGCAGCAGUGGGGAAUCUUCCGCAAUGGGCGAAAGCCUGACGGAGCAACGCCGCGUGAACGAGUGAAGGUCUUAGGAUCGUAAAGUUCUGUUGUUAGGGAAGAUAAUGACGGUACCUGACUAAGAAGCACCGGCUAAAAUACGUG